This 253-nucleotide ribosomal RNA is filed under the name uncultured bacterium. RNAcentral's name for it is "partial 16S ribosomal RNA". It matches the Rfam family "Bacterial small subunit ribosomal RNA", at positions 524 to 776 of the family's 1533-position model. The record is from RNAcentral.
UACGUAGGGGGCAAGCGUUAUCCGGAUUUACUGGGUGUAAAGGGAGCGUAGACGGCUGUGCAAGUCUGAAGUGAAAGGCAAGGGCUCAACCUUUGGACUGCUUUGGAAACUGUGCAGCUAGAGUGUCGGAGAGGCAAGUGGAAUUCCUAGUGUAGCGGUGAAAUGCGUAGAUAUUAGGAGGAACACCGGUGGCGAAGGCGGCUUGCUGGACGAUGACUGACGUUGAGGCUCGAAAGCGUGGGGAGCAAACAGG